GGGACACUGGUAUGGUAUCUCAUAUGAGGGAUCCUGGUCGAUUCUGAACCUAAUUGAACCUAAGUUUCUUGAAAAGUGAGGCGAUAGCCAAAAUAGUCGGCUGAGUCUUGGACAUAGAUCGCUAUGCUAUAGAAUGCCUGCCUAGGUCAUCCCUUAGAGCUUGCUGGAUGAGAGAUUAGACUGAGUUCUCUCAACUCCAUGCUCUCACUCUGGCCACUCACUUACGGAUAAAGCCCCUAUGCUUGCGACUCUCCCACUUUGGCAUGUCUGACUUUGAGCUUCUUUCCAGGGAUUGUAUUCCCGUAGUGCCUGAUUGGGACCUCUUUCUUACUCUCUCGUACGCAACCCCAUCCGUUUAGGGGUUCGCCCUCUCUUCGGGUACCUCGCCCACUCGGGACCUUCCACUCUGAAGUUUACCCGAUCAGGCAAACAACUGUGACUUUCAUCUCCGCUUCGCACCUCUAAUAAUAGCAAGUACGCCCGCAUUAGCUCACCACUUCUCCUAGCAUGCAUUGGCAUGCUUGCCUUAGACUCACACGACAGCCUAAACUCAGGUUACGAAGUAAUAAAUCAGCCAUUGAAGAGAACUAUGAUCGGAGAGCAAGCAGGGAACCUCUCGUCAGGUUGGUUGGGUUGGCUUGCUUGUUAAGAGGGAAUUCCCAGAUAGGUAGUUUACUUGCUCGUAGAGGUGCGUAGCUUGUUUCGUUGUGAGAUGGGCAACCUAUCUCACUUAGGAUUCCCUGGUCUUUGGACUACAGCAAUAUGGGAAUAGAAUUGAACUAUGGAUCGGAGAAUAACACUGAUUGAAGCCAGUUCACAACCUGGGAUAGCUAACGCUACCUUGCCUGAAGACAUGGGAUUGCCGUAGAAGUCACAUGCCAAGCAAGAACUUGCUCGUUUCACUUCCCUAGUUGUAAAUCGAGUAGGGCGUACGAGUGAACCAGCGUAUGCGAGCUAGCGAUUCCCAAGUGGUCGUUAAUAGAUAGAGGUUGCUUUAGUUCUCCCGGGAAAGAUGCCAAUCUGCUUAGUGUUCAGUGUACCUUUCGAUAAGAGGACGAAUGCACGGGCUUAAGCAGAUCAGUUGGUGCUACGCUUGUCUUGUUAAAGCAAGGGGUAAAUAGGAUAACACCAGCAUAGGAGGCAAAGUGGAACUCUUGCCUAGCCAUGGGAAUCCGCCCUAUCUCAUUAGCGAAGCCUGCUAUAUGGCUAUUUAGCUUUAGACACAAGGUGAGAGAACUCUCGUUCAAUGGCUUUUUAGGCCGUUUUAAUAACGUGUUACAGUUGUUUUCACAGUAGCAGCUACGCUCCAAUGUGUGGAUAAUCGGGUGUUAGAGCAAUCUCUGCCGCUACCGAUUUCGGCUCUCUUAGUUGCUUCUUCCCGAGUCUCAGUAGCUAAAGCGAGCCUGUUAUAUAAGCAGAUGUGUGUGGAUUCUGCUAGAGUAACAGUUGCUUCAAUGCCAGUUCAUCUGUUAAGACUAAUGCGUCGAUAAGUGAGAGCAGCUCAGAAGGGGUUGAGAAUGUGUAGU
RNAcentral lists this long non-coding RNA (1526 nucleotides) under Elaeis guineensis (African oil palm). Its description in RNAcentral is "long non-coding RNA (EGUI_LNC049658)". Lineage: Eukaryota; Viridiplantae; Streptophyta; Magnoliopsida; Arecales; Arecaceae. The record is from RNAcentral.